CAUUCCUUAACUAUAAGGAGACAAUGCACUUAUGACUCUUAACUCUAAGGUUGUUAUGUCAUAAUGUCAACUCUCACAUACACUUGCAGUUUCUACAUUCCUUUAGUGUCAUUUACACUACUUGUUCUUGGUUCUCAACUUUAGCAUUCAAUGCCCAUAAAUGUCACUCUUGUUCACUAAAUGUCAAUCACACUAACUCUAGUGUCAAGAUCUCAUUAAUGCCACACACUAACUCUAGUGUUAUCUUUGCAUUUACUAAUGCCACUCGAUCUAUAUGUUAUCGUGUCACUUUGUUCUUUGUCUCAACUAGGUUUUCAUAUCUCAUCUCAUGCAUACAUAGGGUUUUUAGGUUCUCAACCGUCUCAUAAUGCACUUGUACUCACAACAUGCAA
RNAcentral lists this long non-coding RNA (392 nucleotides) under Ananas comosus (pineapple). RNAcentral describes it as "long non-coding RNA (ACOM_LNC043171)". The record is from RNAcentral. Lineage: Eukaryota; Viridiplantae; Streptophyta; Magnoliopsida; Poales; Bromeliaceae.